AACGAACGCUGGCGGCAGGCCUAACACAGGCAAGUCGAGCGCCCCGCAAGGGGAGCGGCGGACGGGUGAGUAACGCGUGGGAACGUACCCUUUGCUACGGAAUAGCCUCGGGAAACUGGGAGUAAUACCGUAUGUGUCCUUCGGGAGAAAGAUUUAUCGGCAAGGGAUCGGCCCGCGUUGGAUUAGGUAGUUGGUGGGGUAAUGGCCUACCAAGCCGACGAUCCAUAGCUGGUUUGAGAGGAUGAUCAGCCACACUGGGACUGAGACACGGCCCAGACUCCUACGGGAAGCAGCAGUGGGGAAUCUUAGACAAUGGGCGCAAGCCUGAUCUAGCCAUGCCGCGUGAGCGAUGAAGGCCUUAGGGUUGUAAAGCUCUUUCAGGGGGGAAGAUAAUGACUGUACCCCCAGAAGAAGCCCCGGCUAACUCCGUG
This 431-nucleotide ribosomal RNA is filed under the name uncultured bacterium. Its description in RNAcentral is "partial 16S ribosomal RNA". It matches the Rfam family "Bacterial small subunit ribosomal RNA", at positions 29 to 507 of the family's 1533-position model. The record is from RNAcentral.